CUCCGGAAAACCGGAGUUACUAUUCACUUUAAGUGAAAACUAAUAAUCGCGUAACUUCUCCGUUUUAGCUCAUUUUCUUCUGAAACUUGACGAGUGCUUAUGUAAUUAAAUUACACACAUAAACAUCAUCAACGGAGAGUUUAGUUGCACUGUAAACAUCUCAGUCCUUACACACUAAGUCUACAGAAAGUGCAUAAGAGAUAGUAAGGAAAGCUGGAAGCCCUAUAGCUGUAUGCCACUAUAUUAUCGCUAACCAACGCUGGCUAUCUGUAGAUAAAACAAAAUGCAAUCUCUGACCCAAACUCACUAGGGACUGUGAACGCACCCGUCCCACCUGUCGAAGCUACACCGCAUACCACCCCGAGGGCUGCCGGUCGA
Molecule: long non-coding RNA, 378 nt
Filed under: Ananas comosus (pineapple)
Lineage: Eukaryota; Viridiplantae; Streptophyta; Magnoliopsida; Poales; Bromeliaceae
Description: long non-coding RNA (ACOM_LNC030633)
Source: RNAcentral